RNAcentral lists this ribosomal RNA (494 nucleotides) under uncultured bacterium. Its description in RNAcentral is "partial 16S ribosomal RNA". It matches the Rfam family "Bacterial small subunit ribosomal RNA", at positions 30 to 507 of the family's 1533-position model. The record is from RNAcentral.
AUUGAACGCUGGCGGCAUGCUUUACACAUGCAAGUCGAACGGCAGCGGGGAGGUGCUUGCUUCUCUGCCGGCGAGUGGCGAACGGGUGAGUAAUACAUCGGAACGCGUCGAGAAGAGGGGGAUAACCACCCGAAAGGGUGGCUAAUACCGCAUAAAUUCUGAGGAAGAAAGCUGGGGACCUAGGAAUAGGCCUAGCGCUUUUUGAGCGGCCGAUGUCGGAUUAGCUAGUUGGUGUGGUAAAGGCUCACCAAGGCGAAGAUCUGUAGCGGGUCUGAGAGGAUGAUCGGCCACACUGGGACUGAGACACGGCCAAGACUCCUACGGGAGGCAGCAGUGGGGAAUGUUGGACAGUGGGGGCAACCCUGAUCCAGCGAUGCCGCGUGUAUGGAGAAGGCCUUGGGGUUGUAAAGUACUUUUGUUAGGGAAGAAAAGUCAGCUGUGAAUAAUGGCUGAUACUGACGGUACCUAAAGAAUAAGCACCGGCUAACUACGUG